This 654-nucleotide long non-coding RNA is filed under the name Homo sapiens (human). RNAcentral's name for it is "HSALNT0005448". Lineage: Eukaryota; Metazoa; Chordata; Mammalia; Primates; Hominidae. The record is from RNAcentral.
CACAAUGUGUUCAUUAUUGUGUUUUGACAAGAUAAGGCUCCAUAAGUAUAUAGGAGCUCUUUGGGGAGUAGGAAUUUAACUGGCUGGGAUUGUGAGAGACAGGAUUUUACAUACUUCUGUGUAGUCACCAAUAAUAAUAGUUGACAUACAAUAUAGUUGAAUGCUUUGAGAAUCUCAAAAAUUCCAUGAAAUGGAUGGAGAUUAUUUUCACAUGACAAGUGAAGAAACUGAGGUGCACUGAGGUUCAGUGGAAACUUAAGAAAACAUUGUUGUUUGUAAUCACACUCUACAAACUUUACAAGAAGGGCUCACAUAUUUUUGAGGCUUUGCUAGCCAACCCAGAAGGAAGUGGUCUCCGAAUUCAAGACAAUAAUAAUCUUUUCCUGUCCUUGGGUCUGCAAGAGAAAAUUUUGAAAAAACUUAAGACAGUGGAAAACAAAAUGAAGAACCUAGAAGGGAUAAUCGUUGCUCAAAAACCUGCCACGAAGAGGGAUUGCUCCUCUGAGCCCUACUGCAGCUGCUCUGACUGCCAGAGUCCCUUGUCCACAUCAGGGUUUACUUCCCCCAUUUGAAAUGUGAUGGACUCCAAUCUUUUCCAGGAAAGCACUGUUUCCCUCAUGUGUGCAGUGGUGUAUCAAUAAAGAUAGAGAACGC